RNAcentral lists this transfer RNA (94 nucleotides) under Stegodyphus mimosarum. It matches the Rfam family "tRNA". From Rfam's summary of the family: Transfer RNA (tRNA) molecules are approximately 80 nucleotides in length. Their secondary structure includes four short double-helical elements and three loops (D, anti-codon, and T loops). Further hydrogen bonds mediate the characteristic L-shaped molecular structure. tRNAs have two regions of fundamental functional importance: the anti-codon, which is responsible for specific mRNA codon recognition, and the 3' end, to which the tRNAs corresponding amino acid is attached (by aminoacyl-tRNA synthetases). tRNAs cope with the degeneracy of the genetic code in two manners: having more than one tRNA (with a specific anti-codon) for a particular amino acid; and 'wobble' base-pairing, i.e. permitting non-standard base-pairing at the 3rd anti-codon position. The record is from Rfam by way of RNAcentral. Lineage: Eukaryota; Metazoa; Arthropoda; Arachnida; Araneae; Eresidae.
GCUUUCGUGGUGUAGUGGUCAGCACGCUCGACGCGUAACCGAGAGAUUCCCGAAAGCGUUGUAGAGGCCCGUGGUUCGAUUCCCGGCGAAAGCG